Molecule: ribosomal RNA, 549 nt
Filed under: uncultured Glomeraceae
Lineage: Eukaryota; Fungi; Glomeromycota; Glomeromycetes; Glomerales; Glomeraceae
Description: SSU rRNA
Rfam family: Eukaryotic small subunit ribosomal RNA
Source: RNAcentral
UUGGAGGGCAAGUCUGGUGCCAGCAGCCGCGGUAAUUCCAGCUCCAAUAGCGUAUAUUAAAGUUGUUGCAGUUAAAAAGCUCGUAGUUGAAUUUCGGGGUCAGUAGGUUGGUCAUGCCACAGGUAUGUACUGGUCUCACUGAUUCCUCCUUCCUGAUGAACUGUAAUGCCAUUAAUUUGGUGUUGCAGGGAAUCUGGACUGUUACUUUGAAAAAAUUAGAGUGUUUAAAGCAGGCUAACGCCUGAAUACAUUAGCAUGGAAUAAUGAAAUAGGACGUUCGAUCCUAUUUUGUUGGUUUCUAGGAUUGACGUAAUGAUUAAUAGGGAUAGUUGGGGGCAUUAGUAUUCAAUUGUCAGAGGUGAAAUUCUUGGAUUUAUUGAAGACUAACUACUGCGAAAGCAUUUGCCAAGGAUGUUUUCAUUAAUCAAGAACGAAAGUUAGGGGAUCGAAGACGAUCAGAUACCGUCGUAGUCUUAACCAUAAACUAUGCCGACUAGGGAUCGGACGAUGUUAAUUUUUUAAUGACUCGUUCGGCGCCUUACGGGAAAC